AUUGAACGCUGGCGGCAGGCCUAACACAUGCAAGUCGAACGAGUGGCGGACGGGUGAGUAAUGUCUGGGAAACUGCCCGAUGGAGGGGGAUAACUACUGGAAACGGUAGCUAAUACCGCAUACCAUCGGAUGUGCCCAGAUGGGAUUAGCUAGUAGGUGGGGUAACGGCUCACCUAGGCGACGAUCCCUAGCUGGUCUGAGAGGAUGACCAGCCACACUGGGACUGAGACACGGUCCAGACUGCUACGGGAGGCAGAAGUGGGGAAUAUUGCACAAUGGGCGCAAGCCUGAUGCAGCCAUGCCGCGUGGAUGAAGAAGGCCGUCGGGUUGGAAAGUACUUUAAGCGAGGAGGCGGUACUCGCAGAAGAAGCACCGGCUAACUCCGUGCCAGCAGCCGCGGUAAUUC
RNAcentral lists this ribosomal RNA (406 nucleotides) under uncultured bacterium. RNAcentral's name for it is "partial 16S ribosomal RNA". It matches the Rfam family "Bacterial small subunit ribosomal RNA", at positions 29 to 526 of the family's 1533-position model. The record is from RNAcentral.